ACUACGGGGGGCAGCAGUGGGGAAUAUUGCACAAUGGGGGAAACCCUGAUGCAGCGACGCCGCGUGAGUGAAGAAGUAUUUCGGUAUGUAAAGCUCUAUCAGCAGGGAAGAAAAUGACGGUACCUGAUUAAGAAGCCGCGGCUAACUACUGGCCCCCAGCCGCGGUAAUACGUAGGGGGCAAGAGUAAUCCGGAGUUACUGAGUGUAAAGGGAGCGUAGACGGCAGCACAAGUCUGGAGUGAAAUGCCUGGGGUUAACCCCGGUACUGCUUUGGAAACUGUGCAGCUAGAGUGCAGGAGAGGUAAGUGGAAUUCGCGGUGUAGCGGUGAAAUGCGUAGAUAUUAGGAAGAACACCAGUGGCGAAGGCGGCUUACUGGACUGUAACUGACGUUGAGGCUCGAAAGCGUGGGGAGCAAACAGGAUUAGAUACCCUAGUAGUC
Molecule: ribosomal RNA, 440 nt
Filed under: uncultured bacterium
Lineage: Bacteria
Description: partial 16S ribosomal RNA
Rfam family: Bacterial small subunit ribosomal RNA
Source: RNAcentral